CAGUAGCCGCGGUAAUACGUAGGUGGCAAGCGUUGUCCGGAAUUAUUGGGCGUAAAAGGCUCGCAGGCGGUUUCUUAAGUCUGAUGUGAAAGCCCCCGGCUCAACCGGGGAGGGUCAUUGGGAACUGGGAAACUUGAGUGCAGAAGAGGAGAGUGGAAUUCCACGUGUAGCGGUGAAAUGCGUAGAGAUGUGGUGGAACACCAGUGGCGAAGGCGACUCUCUGGUCUGUAACUGACGCUGAGGAGCGAAAGCGUGGGGAGCGAACAGGAUUAGAUACCCGGGUAGUCCCUGUCUCUUAUAC
RNAcentral lists this ribosomal RNA (301 nucleotides) under uncultured bacterium. RNAcentral's name for it is "partial 16S ribosomal RNA". It matches the Rfam family "Bacterial small subunit ribosomal RNA", at positions 509 to 807 of the family's 1533-position model. The record is from RNAcentral.